This 429-nucleotide ribosomal RNA is filed under the name Bacteroidota bacterium. RNAcentral's name for it is "Bacteroidetes bacterium partial 16S ribosomal RNA". It matches the Rfam family "Bacterial small subunit ribosomal RNA", at positions 355 to 776 of the family's 1533-position model. Lineage: Bacteria; Pseudomonadati; Bacteroidota. The record is from RNAcentral.
UAGGGAAUCUUCCGCAAUGGACGCAAGUCUGACGGAGCAACGCCGCGUGAGUGAAGAAGGAUUUCGGUUCGUAAAACUCUGUUGUUAGAGAAGAACAGCGCAUAGAGUAACUGUUAUGCGUGUGACGGUAUCUAACCAGAAAGCCACGGCUAACUACGUGCCAGCAGCCGCGGUAAUACGUAGGUGGCAAGCGUUGUCCGGAUUUAUUGGGCGUAAAGCGAGCGCAGGCGGUCAAUUAAGUCUGAUGUGAAAGCCCCCGGCUCAACCGGGGAGGGUCAUUGGAAACUGGUUGACUUGAGUGCAGAAGAGGAGAGUGGAAAUCCAUGUGUAGCGGUGAAAUGCGUAGAUAUAUGGAGGAAAACCAGUGGCGAAGGCGACUCUCUGGUCUGUAACUGACGCUGAGGCUCGAAAGCGUGGGUAGCAAACAGG